GACCUCAAAUCAGGUAGG
RNAcentral lists this ribosomal RNA (18 nucleotides) under Paxillus involutus. RNAcentral's name for it is "partial 28S ribosomal RNA". Lineage: Eukaryota; Fungi; Basidiomycota; Agaricomycetes; Boletales; Paxillaceae. The record is from RNAcentral. RNAcentral also lists the same sequence under 14 other names.